GGCGUGGCGAAAUUGGUAGACGCACUGGAUUUAGGUUCCAGCGCCGCAAGGUGUAAGAGUUCGAGUCUCUUCGCC
Molecule: transfer RNA, 75 nt
Filed under: Acinetobacter baumannii
Lineage: Bacteria; Pseudomonadati; Pseudomonadota; Gammaproteobacteria; Moraxellales; Moraxellaceae
Description: tRNA-Leu
Rfam family: tRNA
About the family: Transfer RNA (tRNA) molecules are approximately 80 nucleotides in length.
Source: RNAcentral